RNAcentral lists this ribosomal RNA (253 nucleotides) under uncultured bacterium. RNAcentral's name for it is "partial 16S ribosomal RNA". It matches the Rfam family "Bacterial small subunit ribosomal RNA", at positions 524 to 776 of the family's 1533-position model. The record is from RNAcentral.
UACGGAGGGUGCAAGCGUUGUUCGGAAUUACUGGGCGUAAAGCGCACGUAGGCGGCUUUGUAAGUUAGAGGUGAAAGCCUGGAGCUCAACUCCAGAAUUGCCUUUAAGACUGCAUCGCUUGAAUCCAGGAGAGGUGAGUGGAAUUCCGAGUGUAGAGGUGAAAUUCGUAGAUAUUCGGAAGAACACCAGUGGCGAAGGCGGCUCACUGGACUGGUAUUGACGCUGAGACGCGAAAGCGUGGGGAGCAAACAGG